GAUGAUCGCUGUGACAGGUGGAAUAACUGAGACAUGGCUGGAUGAUAGCUAUGACUGGGCAGUUAAUGUACAGGUUUAGAGUCUGUUUAGAAAAGAUUGCCAAAAUCAGAGAGGGGGAGGGGUCUGCCUUUAUGUAAAGUCCUGUCUAAAGCCCACAGUCCGAGAAGAUAUAAGUGAGGGACAUGAACAUGUGGAGUCACUGUGGAUAGAAAU
Molecule: long non-coding RNA, 213 nt
Organism: Bufo bufo (common toad)
Lineage: Eukaryota; Metazoa; Chordata; Amphibia; Anura; Bufonidae
Exons: 3
Source: RefSeq, a predicted model, not a curated record